CCGGGCACAGCUGCGCCUCGUCCGGAGCCCGGGGCGGGGGCGGGAGGCGGGCCCCCCCCCAAAGCCUCUUAAGCUCCGCCGGAGGCCGCUGGGAGCUACGAGCGAGUUCGCGAGGAGUUCUUCUCCUGGGGGAGUCGUAGCGGGUGCCGCUGCUCCGUGGGCUCCAGGCUCCGUUUUCGUACGGAACCCUCGGGAUUCUCUCCAACGUUCUCCGCUCGUCGUUUGGUUUCGGGCUGCGGCGAGAGCCCUCGCGGUAAGGACCGGCCCCGACGGCAGCGGGGAUGCGGCGGGAGGCCGCCGGGUUCUCGCCCCGCUCGAUUCGGGGCCGGCGCUGGGCUCCCGUCGGGCUGCCCCAGCUUCUCCGGAGCCGGCCUCGCGUCGCCGCCGCUCGGUUCCCCGAGUCCCGCUGCGGCCUUGCGGCGCUCUCGGCAACCCUGGGUUUGUUUCUUUCUUUAUUUUCGUUGUAGCGAGUUCUUCAGUUCUCUCCGCUCUUCACGGGGGAAGCGAGCGGGACGGGGCCGGCCGUCUCCGACCUCGGCGCCGCACGAAGCCAAGCGUUUUCUUCUUGCAGGCGGAGCCAGGGCUGCGGCGGAGCGCCCGUCGGCCCGAAGGGGUGCAACUCUAGGAGCGCGAUCUCGUUCCCACCGCGGAGACGCGGCGGGGCGGCUCGCGGGACCGGCACGCUGUUGCGGCUGGCUGCGCUGUGUUGAGAACAGACGGAGCGGCGAGGCGGCGGAGUUGCUCUUCCCGCGGGAGAAGCGGCAGGUAUUGAGCCGUGCCCGGGGAUGGAUGGAGAACGAGCGCGGCGCUGGCGUGGGAAGAAGACGUGGGGGACAUCAUCCAGCCCUGGACGAGGAAGCUGGCGAGCGCUUCGGCACGCGGCUGGAAGUGGCCUCCUGGCUGCGGGUGUCGCUGCUCAGGGAGCUGCUCGGAGGCGUCGCUUAG
This 945-nucleotide long non-coding RNA is filed under the name Numida meleagris (helmeted guineafowl). RNAcentral describes it as "lncRNA (ENSNMEG00000004710.1)". Lineage: Eukaryota; Metazoa; Chordata; Aves; Galliformes; Numididae. The record is from RNAcentral.